RNAcentral lists this ribosomal RNA (175 nucleotides) under uncultured Arthrobacter sp. RNAcentral's name for it is "partial 16S ribosomal RNA". It matches the Rfam family "Bacterial small subunit ribosomal RNA", at positions 338 to 524 of the family's 1533-position model. The record is from RNAcentral. Lineage: Bacteria; Bacillati; Actinomycetota; Actinomycetes; Micrococcales; Micrococcaceae.
CCUACGGGAGGCAGCAGUGGGGAAUAUUGCACAAUGGGCGCAAGCCUGAUGCAGCGACGCCGCGUGAGGGAUGACGGCCUUCGGGUUGUAAACCUCUUUCAGUAGGGAAGAAGCGAAAGUGACGGUACCUGCAGAAGAGGCGCCGGGCUAACUACGUGCCAGCAGCCGCGGUAAU